Molecule: ribosomal RNA, 370 nt
Filed under: uncultured eukaryote
Lineage: Eukaryota
Description: partial 18S ribosomal RNA
Rfam family: Eukaryotic small subunit ribosomal RNA
Source: RNAcentral
CAAUAGCGUAUAUUAAAGUUGUUGCAGUUAAAAAGCUCGUAGUUGGAUUUCUGGUCGGAAGCUCCUGUCCUCUGAUGAGCGUACAAGUGCGUCCUACCAUCCUUCUGUUAACCUUUAAGGCUUUCGCGGCUUUCUAGGGGCUCAGAUAUUUUACCUUGAGAAAAUUAGAGUGUUUCAGGCAGGCUAGCGCCGGAAUACAUUAGCAUGGAAUAAUGGAAUAGGACUUUUGCCUCUUCUGUUGGUUAUGAGGCUCGAGUAAUGAUUAAUAGGGAUAGUUGGGGGCAUUAGUACUUAACUGUCAGAGGUGAAAUUCUCGGAUUUGUUAAAGACUAACUUAUGCGAAAGCAUUUGCCAAGGAUGUUUUCAUUAA